UCGUGUGGCAGAAACAGAAGGCCACAGGGAUGAGGACUAACGUCCCCUCUUGGUGUGACAGGAUCCUAUGGAAGUCUUACCCUGAGACUCACAUUGUCUGUAACUCCUAUGGCUGUACAGAUGACGUGGUGACCAGUGACCACUCCCCUGUGUUUGGUACAUUUGAGGUGGGGGUCACCUCACAGUUCGUCUCCAAAAGUGGCC
Molecule: long non-coding RNA, 204 nt
Organism: Oncorhynchus gorbuscha (pink salmon)
Lineage: Eukaryota; Metazoa; Chordata; Actinopteri; Salmoniformes; Salmonidae
Exons: 3
Source: RefSeq, a predicted model, not a curated record